UAAAAAAAAAUGUAAUUUGAAAUUGGAGGAGAGUUUUGGAAAAUAUUUUCCUUAAUUUUUGAAGGGAAGUCAUUUUCCUUAAUUUUGAGGAAAAUGAGUUGAUUUUGAAAACAUUUUUCAGAACUUUUGUCCCAAUCAAACAUGGAAAAAUUGGAAAACAUUUUCCAAAAAAAAUUUUCCGUCAUACCAAACACACUCUUGAUCUAACUUUAAUUUAGGACUAGAAGAUUCAAAAGUCUUCUUUUUAUUCUUAAAUUUUGUGGCAAGUCAAACUAGGUCAUUUUUUGUGAAACGAAGGGAGUAUUUAAUUUACUAUCGGGUUAUCAAUUAACUCGUUAAGAAAAAAUCUCAAACCCUUAAGAACCAAUAAGUCGAUUAAAAAAAGUCAAAACCUUUAUUAAAAUCACUAAAUCAAUUACCCAAUACUGAUAAAUCAAUAAAAAAUAUUCAGUUUGGGUUAUCGAUUUCGAUUCAAUUUUGAACAAUCCUAUAAAAAUGGGCUAACCGUUGGUCUCUGGUGCAUUGGGAAGUAUAUUGAGUAUCUUUCACUAUAGUGAAACUUCAAUAAAUUAAUACUCAGUCAAUUAAUAAUCUUUCUAAGAUAAUAAUUUUCUUCGGUCUCAACUUGGGCCAAUGAAAAAAAUCACUCAUUUCGAUAAGAUAAUACAUUUUGAGAAGACCUCUAUAUAAAUAUAUAUGGUCUCAUCGAUAUUAUAAAUUAAUAAUACUUUAAAAGUGCAAGUAUCUUUAAGAAAAUUUAGUGAAAUGUGAUUCUAUGUACUUUUUUUUUUUUUUGGUUGAAAUUCAAAUUUAGUUGAAACUCAUCUUUUAACUUUUCUUAUUGCAUCCAAAAGUUCUGGUGGUCUUUUCUAAUUGCACCAUAAAAUUGUGAAGAGUUCUAGUUGCAAGUGUUUCUUUACGCGUAACUGGCAAUUGGUUUCAAAGUAACCGAGAUCAUUAAUCAUGUCAUCAAGUUCAUGAAUGACGUAUCACAAGUGGGUUCUUUCAAAUUCUUUGAGCACCGGAUGUCGUAUCGCACAUGGUGUUCACAUCCCCAUUACUACCCUGGCCUUGAUCCACAUCAAUUUUUCCUCAGUUUCCCAUGUUCAAGCAAGGGUCAAGCCACCACAUUUGAUCCUCGACCAGUUAAACAAAGUCCUCUUCUCCCUCUUCCUUUUGAUCUCCAAGUUCAUAGGCAAAAGCUUAUGUCAAGUGGUGAGAUUCUCACUCGGAAUAACCUUGCAGUCCUUUAUAAAGGUCUCUAGCCAACUUCCUAAGGAGUAUAUGAUCUAUUUGCGUCUUAACCAUCACAUUACGAAAGAUAGUCAGGUCUUUUUUCCAAAAGUUUGAAUCAUCAAUCAACUCAAAAGCUCUAGUGAAAUCCAAAAAUGACGCAACACCUUCAUUUAUAUCCCCAAAAUCAAAGGCUCCAUGCACAUCGUCAAACCACUAAAAGUUGUCCUGACAUGAUUAUUGAAAUCGCAUCCCAAAAGCUUCUCGAAUGAGUUGGGAAUGAUCAACUUAUGAAAAUGAUCAAUUUAUAGCUUUUGGUUGAUUUUGACUCAUAAGCACUUGAUGUGCAAGCACUUUAGCUAUUUAUCAAAUGUGUAAAUGUAGAUAAUUAAGCCAAACACUAUCUAUUAUUAUUGAAAAGGUGGUCAAACUUCGAACAAAGUAGCAAGUAAAAGGAUGGUCCUUUUGGUGA
This is a long non-coding RNA of Solanum lycopersicum (tomato), 1705 nucleotides long. RefSeq lists it as uncharacterized. The record is from RefSeq and is a predicted model, not a curated record. Lineage: Eukaryota; Viridiplantae; Streptophyta; Magnoliopsida; Solanales; Solanaceae.